Molecule: ribosomal RNA, 274 nt
Filed under: uncultured bacterium
Lineage: Bacteria
Description: partial 16S ribosomal RNA
Rfam family: Bacterial small subunit ribosomal RNA
Source: RNAcentral
AUACGGAGGGUGCAAGCGUUAAUCGGAAUUACUGGGCGUAAAGGGUUCGUAGGCGGUUAUUUAAGUCAGAUGUGAAAGCCCCGGGCUCAACCUGGGAAUUGCAUCUGAUACUGGGUAACUAGAGUUUAAGAGAGGAGUGUGGAAUUUCCGGUGUAGCGGUGAAAUGCAUAGAGAUCGGAAGGAACAUCAGUGGCGAAGGCGGCACUCUGGCUUAAAACUGACGCUGAGGAACGAAAGCGUGGGUAGCAAACAGGAUUAGAUACCCUUGUAGUCC